Non-coding RNA from Bactrocera oleae (olive fruit fly), 914 nucleotides. The record is from RefSeq and is a predicted model, not a curated record. Lineage: Eukaryota; Metazoa; Arthropoda; Insecta; Diptera; Tephritidae.
AUCGCGGGAAACAUUUGGACUCACAAUUUUUUAUACUAUACCUCUAAUAUAUCUAAAGAAAUUCUGAAAUUUUCAGAGGGAUGGCCAUGGCUAAUUGACGCCACUCGCCACGCUGCUUAUUUAUAUAUGCAUGUAUACACUUUAUUAGGCCUCCGGCGCUUCCUUCUGUGUGUUACAAACUUCGUGGCAUACUUAAUAUACAUAUAUUCUGUUUAGGUUAUAAUGAAUGACUGAAUUAAAAAUAGCACAAGUAAAGAAAACUUUUACUAACAAAGAAGUUAGAUAUGGCGCGCCAACAUUUUGGACCGGUCUUAUGCUGACAUGAGUUUAGAGUUUUAACAACUAAAGAUGUGAUUAGUUUUGCUGCCGGUCACACUGACUAUGUUUAUGGUUUGUGGUAAAGAUUGUCUCCAAAAUUGAUUGACCGUAACAAAACAAGCAAUCGUAACAUAACCUCUAAUAGUAUGUUCAGCAGCCAUUACCAACGCUAGUUGCAUCCAUUACUUUACCUGCGCAACAUACAGCACUGCAUUUGUAGCAUACUCUAUGCUGUAACAACAAUAAGAGCAACAUAACUUCGGAGGUGUACAGUAAACACUGUAACUGACCGGUAAUUUAUACAUUUUUCAAGCUUUUCAUUUCAGCUGUAUUAAGUGAAGAGCAUAUAUUUUUCUAUGCUUGCUACUGAAAAACUCUCCGGAACUGCAGAGCUACCUAUUGUUAGCGUGUAUACAAUCAAAAUUGCUUUAGUGAUCGCUUAAGUCAACGCAGUGAAAUGUUUGCGUAAGAGCAGCCUUCAAAUCGAAACAAGUUUUAUAAUUUCUAUCUCUGGCCACUAAUCAAAAUAACUCGCAAAUAAAUUAUACGUUGCCAAUUUUUUUGAAAUCCAUUAUUUAGAUGUAAAAAUAAUUCUA